AUGGAGUAUGAUGCUUCAUCCACGACGGGGUCCAUGUUCCUGCCUUUCCUUGCGAUGUUCGGGGCCAUCUACCUCCUCGGCUACUUUGUGGUCUUCCGGCGCUGGAGCCUGCAGCAGCGGCCGGACGCGUCCAGCUGCCUCACCUCGCUCUUCCACGGCACGCCGGCAACGCUGCUGGCGCUGCGCGCAGUGCGGUCCAGCUCGAGGGCUGGCGACCUCGCGGCGCCCAACAUGCCUGCCGACGACCUCGCCCUCGACUUCAGCACGGCCUACUUCACUGUCGACCUCAUCCACUACCUCGUCUUCCUGCCCCACGAGGUGCUCUUCGUGGCGCACCACCUCGCCACGCUCUACGUCUUCGCCACCUGCCGCGCCGCCGUGCGUUGCGGCGCCUACGGGUUGCUCGCCUUGGAGGUGCUCGCCGAGGUCACCAGCCUGGCGCAGAACCUGUGGACGCUGGCCGGCAUGCGGCGCGCCGACUCGCUGCUGGCCGCCAGGGCGCACGCCGUGUUGUCGCUCCCGUUCUACCCGGCUUACACGGCCAUGAGGGCGGUCCUCGGGCCGGUCUGGUUCGUGAGGAUGGUGAAAUUCUAUGCCGCCGAUGGUGGUGUGCCGACGUGGGCGUGGGCGUCGUGGAGCGUGGUGAUUGGGUCCGCGAUACUGGUGAGCGUGCUGUGGGUGGGCAACCUGUGGUUGGUCUACUUCAGACAAAGGAUGGGGAACAACAAGAAGGAACAAUGA
This 741-nucleotide ribosomal RNA is filed under the name Triticum aestivum (bread wheat). RNAcentral describes it as "partial small subunit ribosomal RNA". The record is from RNAcentral. Lineage: Eukaryota; Viridiplantae; Streptophyta; Magnoliopsida; Poales; Poaceae.